UGGGGGGACAGCGGGGCAGCCCGGGCCACGGCGAGGGUGCUGGGAGCACAGCGCACAGAGCUCUGCAGACAGGCCGUGGGGUCCCCACGCGCAGCCCUGGGGCACGGACUCAGUGCUGCUGGUCGCCUGCCCUCCACCCUCCGCCAUGCGAGCACACGGCAGGAACCAGGGCGCCGUUCAAAACCGCAUGUCCCAUUAGCGACCCCAACUGCCACGACGCCCCGCGCCCAGGUCUGCCUAUGUCCGGGGUGGGGGUGGCUUGUCUACAGCCGGAGCUGAGCGUGGGACGUGAAGUGGGUGCCACCGUUCGCCGCUGCAGGGCCCUGGGCCCUGACCUGCUGGGAGGCAGGCAGGGUCACGGGGUGCAGGUGAGGGGGCGGCCGCCCCUGCCCCGACCCGGGCAGCACCCGGGGAGGAACGCUCAGCCACAAGCCGCCUCUGCUGGAUUCCGGGGCCACGUCCGUGCCGGGUGCUCGGCCUGCGUGCGGACCAGCAACGGGGCCUCCAGAGGCCGCCCUCAGGGCACAGACAGGGCAAGACCCCCGGGGCCAGCCACAAUCCGGCAGGACCCGGGGGUGGGGCCCGAGGAGCUCACGCCAGGCCCACAGCCGCCACCGUGUGAUGAGUCUGCAGCCUCGGGGCAGCCGACGGCUGGGCCAAGCUCCGGAGUGACUCCCGGGUGCAGAAGGUGCAGGUGCGGGGACAGCUGUCCGCGCCCCAGGCCGGGCCCUCCCGGCGUUGCCCCCGCCUUGACUGCACCCUCCGCCCCCCCAGCCCGGGCCUGGGCUCUCCUCCCUCCUGGGAGCUGCGCUGUGGCCGCCCUUGGGAGAGGCUGUCCGGGCAGGAGUCAUCACGGAGGGACUUGGGGAUCCAGAUCUAACCCCGGGGACCCUGUCCUGGGAGGGCAGACGAGUCGGCGGGACCAUCGUGGCCAAGGCUUGGGACCUCUGGGAGGGGCUCCUGGCCAUCAGGCAAGCAAGGCAGACGCCCCUGCGGUGCUUCUGUGGUGCAGACCCCUAGGGAGCCAGCGAGGCCGCCUGGGGAUGCCGUGGGCUGGGAGGGGCUGUGGGCCGGGGCGUGGGCUCCAGCUCCAGGGGAGUCCCUGCCGCCCGUCCUGUCCCGUCCAGGGCCUGGCAGCUCCGGGGCCCGGGAACCUCCAGGACGUUGACCCCGUCCCCGAGAAUUCAGCUGUUUUCCCUGAGUCGUGUCCCUGGGAACAGCUCCCAUGGACCGAUCCCUGCGCCUUGGACACCAGCAGCCCACGCCCAAGAAAGCCUCCUCUGAGAGCCUGGCCCGCCUCCCCACCCACGCCCACCUCCCGGCUCUGCGUGGUCCCCGCAUCGGGCCCCACAUGUCGCGUCCACACUGCUCCUUUGUUCCCUGGGUCCGGGAGCGCGAGGCCCCAGGCCCGGGCUGGGCAGGCUGGCCGACUGGCGCCCGGGGCUGGGCAUCGCUGGGGCUACGACCCCAUAGUCCCCGGGCCCGGGGGCAGCUGGUGCCCGAGGUCUGACCCCAAGCAAGCUUUUAAUGCCCGUUCCUGAUGUCUUGAGGCCAAACGCCUGAGAGCUGUCAGGUGAUGGAGUCGGCUUCUCCCGCGGCUCCUGGGGGUCGUCGCCAACACCCCCUGCCUGCUGGGCCCCCGGAUCCCGACACGUGCCCUCCCUCACCCGCUGGCCCCGGACCCCACAGCCCACACCUGCUCCAGC
RNAcentral lists this long non-coding RNA (1706 nucleotides) under Vulpes vulpes (red fox). Its description in RNAcentral is "lncRNA (ENSVVUG00000000533.1)". The record is from RNAcentral. Lineage: Eukaryota; Metazoa; Chordata; Mammalia; Carnivora; Canidae.